UACGGAGGGGGCGAGCGUUAUUCGGAAUUAUUGGGCGUAAAGGGCUCGUAGGCGGUCUGUCGCGUCGAAAGUGAAAACCCAGGGCUUAACCCUGGGCCUGCUUCCGAUACGGGCAGACUAGAGGUAUGCAGGGGAGAACGGAAUUCCUGGUGUAGCGGUGAAAUGCGUAGAUAUCUGGAGGAACACCGGUGGCGAAGGCGGCAUCCUGGACCAAUAUUGACGCUGAGGAGCGAAAGCCAGGGGAGCAAACGGG
This 253-nucleotide ribosomal RNA is filed under the name uncultured bacterium. RNAcentral's name for it is "partial 16S ribosomal RNA". It matches the Rfam family "Bacterial small subunit ribosomal RNA", at positions 524 to 776 of the family's 1533-position model. The record is from RNAcentral.